GAGGGUAUAGAUCAGUGGUAGAUUGUGUACUUAGCAUGCAUGAGGUCCUAGGUUCAAUCCCUAGUACCCCCA
RNAcentral lists this transfer RNA (72 nucleotides) under Camelus bactrianus (Bactrian camel). It matches the Rfam family "tRNA". Rfam says of the family: Transfer RNA (tRNA) molecules are approximately 80 nucleotides in length. The record is from Rfam by way of RNAcentral. Lineage: Eukaryota; Metazoa; Chordata; Mammalia; Artiodactyla; Camelidae. RNAcentral also lists the same sequence under 2 other names.